AAACUUUUCAGCUAGAGUAUGAUAGAGGAAAGCAGAAUUUCUAGUGUAGAGGUGAAAUUCGUAGAUAUUAGAAAGAAUACCAAUUGCGAAGGCAGCUUUCUGGAUCAUUACUGACACUGAGGAACGAAAGCAUGGGUAGCGAAGAGGAUUAGAUACCCUCGUAGUCCAUGCCGUAAACGAUGUGUGUUAGACGUUGGAAAUUUAUUUUCAGUGUCGCAGGGAAACCGAUAAACACACCGCCUGGGGAGUACGACCGCAAGGUUAAAACUCAAAUGAAUUGACGGGGACCCGCACAAGUAGUGGAGCAUGUGGUUUAAUUCGAAGAUACGCGCAGAACCUUACCAACACUUGACAUGUUCGUCGCGACUCUAAGAGAUUAGAGUUUUCGGUUCGGCCGGACGAAACACAGGUGCUGCAUGGCUGUCGUCAGCUCGUGUCGUGAGAUGUUGGGUUAAGUCCCGCAACGAGCGCAACCCUCACUUUUAGUUGCCAUCAUUAAGUUGGGCACUCUGAAAGAACUGCCAGUGAUAAGCUGGAGGAAGGUGGGGAUGACGUCAAGUCCUCAUGGCCCUUACGUGUUGGGCUACACACGUGCUACAAUGGCAUCUACAACAGGAAGCAAAACGGCAACGUUAAGCAAAUCCCGAAAAGAUGCCUCAGUUCGGAUUGCACUCUGCAACUCGAGUGCAUGAAGCUGGAAUUACUAGUAAUCGUGGAUCAGCGUGCCACGGUGAAUGCGUUCCCGGGUCUUGUACACACCGCCCGUCACACCAUGGGAGUUGGUUCUACCUUAAGGCAAGGUUUUAAACCCUUGACCACGGUAUAGUCAGCGACUGGGGUGAAGUCGUAACAAGGUAGCCGUAGGGGAACCUGCGGCUG
Molecule: ribosomal RNA, 879 nt
Filed under: marine metagenome
Description: bacterial SSU rRNA
Rfam family: Bacterial small subunit ribosomal RNA
Source: RNAcentral